This 468-nucleotide ribosomal RNA is filed under the name uncultured bacterium. RNAcentral describes it as "partial 16S ribosomal RNA". It matches the Rfam family "Bacterial small subunit ribosomal RNA", at positions 28 to 507 of the family's 1533-position model. The record is from RNAcentral.
GACGAACGCUGGCGGCGUGCUUAACACAUGCAAGUCGAACGGAAAGGCCCUGCUUUUGUGGGGUGCUCGAGUGGCGAACGGGUGGGUAACACGUGAGUAACCUGCCCUUGACUUUGGGAUAACUUCAGGAAACUGGGGCUAAUACCGGAUAGGAGCUCCUGCUGCAUGGUGGGGGUUGGAAAGUUUCGGCGGUUGGGGUUGGACUCGCGGCUUAUCAGCUUGUUGGUGGGGUAGUGGCUUACCAAGGCUUUGACGGGUAGCCGGCCUGAGAGGGUGACCGGCCACAUUGGGACUGAGAUACGGCCCAGACUCCUACGGGAGGCAGCAGUGGGGAAUAUUGCACAAUGGGCGGAAGCCUGAUGCAGCAACGCCGCGUGCGGGAUGACGGCCUUCGGGUUGUAAACCGCUUUCGCCUGUGACGAAGCGUGAGUGACGGUAAUGGGUAAAGAAGCACCGGCUAACUACGUG